UGUGCUAGUAGCUCAGCUGGAUAGAGCAUCGGCCUUCUAAGCCGGUUGUCGGGGGUUCGAAUCCCUUCUGGCACGUC
RNAcentral lists this transfer RNA (77 nucleotides) under Anaerocolumna cellulosilytica. RNAcentral's name for it is "tRNA-Arg". It matches the Rfam family "tRNA". Rfam says of the family: Transfer RNA (tRNA) molecules are approximately 80 nucleotides in length. Their secondary structure includes four short double-helical elements and three loops (D, anti-codon, and T loops). The record is from RNAcentral. Lineage: Bacteria; Bacillati; Bacillota; Clostridia; Lachnospirales; Lachnospiraceae.